AUACGUAGGUGACAAGCGUUAUCCGGAUUUACUGGGCGUAAAGGGCGUGUAGGCGGUCUUGCAAGUCAGAAGUGAAAUUCCUGAGCUCAACUCGGGCGCUGCUUCUGAAACUGCAGGACUUGAGUGCUGGAGGGGAUAGCGGAAUUCCUAGUGUAGCGGUGAAAUGCGUAGAUAUAAGGAAGAACUCCGAUUGCGAAGGCAGUCCGCUGGGGCACGUCUGACGCUGAUGCUCGAAGGUGCGGGAAUCAAACAGGAUUAGAUACCCUGGUAGUCCGCACGGUAAACGAUGAUUACCCGAUGUCGGCGGUAGACAGUCGGCGGCCAAGCGAAAGCGAUAAGUAAUCCACCUGGGGAGUACGCCGGCAACGGUGAAACUCAAAGGAAUUGACGGGG
This 393-nucleotide ribosomal RNA is filed under the name uncultured bacterium. Its description in RNAcentral is "partial 16S ribosomal RNA". It matches the Rfam family "Bacterial small subunit ribosomal RNA", at positions 523 to 918 of the family's 1533-position model. The record is from RNAcentral.